UUCAUAUUAAAUGCAGAAGAAAUGUAAAAAUUACAAACCCAUUGCUUAAGUUUUUAGCCCAACCCAUAGUUAUGCUAAAGAAACUCAUAUCAAGACCCAAAGUAUGAACCUCCUAAUAACACUUAGGCCCAGUUAGAAAAAACAGAAGAGUUGUCUAGGAAACAUCGAUGGUUUUGGAGGCAGAGUAAAGCGAUGGAUUGAGGAAGAUGGAGAGAGGAGAGGAAGAGGCAGAGUAUGGCGAUGGCAGGGGAUGUUGAUCUAGAGCGAUUAUGACAUCCACUGCUGCAUCAUGGCGGAGGAGGAAAUAGGGUUUCUGCCUCUGAAAGAGAGAAUCCGAUCCCUUACCUGUCUAUCAAGCAAGCGGCAGAUGACAGGAGGUGAUCGAUAAGUACUUCUGUGGAGCCUAGCAUUCCUUUCCGUCCAAAUCCAAUAAAUACAGCCUUGCCAACAUAGAAGCGAUUCAAUCCACAUCUUGGCGCAAGAGUACUCCAAAUUUCCCAGGCAAAAGGGCAAUCAAAGUAGAGAUGAUCACGGCUUUCAGAAGCUGCGUUGCAGAGCAAGCAAAGUGGAGAUGUUUGUAGCCCCCAACCGAUGAUUCUAUCUCUCGUCGGACACCGAUUGAGCACAAACAACCAAGCCAAGAAACUUUGUCGUGGAAUGCCUCCUUUGCUCCAUACAGUUUUAAACCAAGAGCGGGCAGGAGGGAGCUGCCAUGAGUUAUGAGCUGACAGGGAAGCGAGAGUAGCUGACUGAGGUAUCCCCAACGAUGAGGAAGAGCCAAGUUGGAGGUAUGAUCUUACACACCCGAAAGGGGACCAGUUAUCAGUCCAGAAUCGGCAGGAUAGACCAUUAGAAACCCAGGGGGACUCCAAGAUAGCGCACAGGGAGAGAGCCAAGAGGCAUACCCGUUGAUACUUGGAUGGUGUCAGUUUCUGCUUGUGAUAGUCCCGAAGCAAAGAAAGAAGUUUUGUGGACGCUUACUGCCAAACCCGAUCUCAACUCAAACUCCCGUAGCACUUGAAGUACUGCCUGAACAGAGUCCAAGGAUCCGUCUAUGAAUAUCAAGAGGUCAUCAGCGAAGCAGAGAUGAGUAAGCCUCGAAGAGGAGCAGCUGUAGUGGUAGUUGAAGCGCAUCUCCCGGGCCGCUUUGUUCAGCAUGAGAGAGAGGUUGUUGAGAGCAAUAACAAAGAGAUAUGGAGACAACGGGUCUCCCUGACGCAGACCUCGAGUUCCCUUGAAGAAGCCGUUCACCAAACCAUUGUAUCCCACAGUGAAGCUGGUGGUGCAUACACAAGCUCUGAUCCAGGCGAUAAACUCCCUUGGCAAGUUAAAACCUUCCAAGCAGGAGAAGAGGAAAUCCCAAGAUAAGGCACUAUAAGCGGCGUCAAGAUGGGCUUCAGACGCUUGACGAGGAGGCGAGAGACCACCUUGUACAGAGUAUUCAAGCAAGAAAUGGGCCUAAAGUCUGUUAUCAGUGAAGCUCCAGUGUGCUUAGGAACCAACGUGAGGAUGGUGCUAUUAGUUGCCGCAGGCAUGAAUGAAGAGAAGAAGAAGUGUUGAAUUGAGUUCACCACCUCCUCUCCAACUAUAGACCAAGCUGCCUUGUAAAACCCCGAGCGGAAGGGAGAUAGAGAUUGGAACCACUCAACUGGAGAUGCUAUCGUUACCCGAGGAGGAGGCAUUGGCCCCAGUAUGCUUGUGAAGUGGGCAACAGCGUGACAGCUCAUGGCCAAAGGGUCAGUUAGUACUACGCCUGAGGAGAGGAUAAAGCAACAGAUGGUGUUGUAGCUAAGGUGGAUCUGCACAAUACGAAAGAAGAAGGAACAGCCAGCGCUCAUUAGCCUGUUUCUCUUGCUCAAACAGUUGUGGAGUUGGAUUCUGCAUUACCUGUACCUGCACAUCUUGAAGAACACGGAAAGAGCAGUGAGGUUCCAGGCAGCGCCACCGGCUUGUGUCCAUGCGUCAAGUACCAACUGGUGAAACCACGGGUGAUGGGAGAGGUAGUUAAAAAAUUUAAAGGGGCGGGUUCCGGAGGUGGGCAUUUUGUAGGCAAGGUUUAGGAUGCAAGGGGUAUGGUCAGAGGUGAGUGAUGGGAGGAAUAUAGCAGAACAGUCAGGGAAAAGGGCAAGGACAUGGUUAUUUAUAAGCAGCCGAUCUAGCUUUUUUGCAAUUGGUUCUUCAGGUCUCCGGUUAGUCCAGGAGAAAAAGGAGCCUUGGAACCGCAAGUCAAAGAGACCCAUUUGAGAUAGGCAAUCCCCAAACUCGAUCAUAGGAGGAGUUAGAGAGUUUACGUUCAAGAGAGAGUGCUCAGCAGGGUGUAGGAUCUGAUUAAAAUCUCCUCCUAACAUCCAAGGGGUAGUGGCAAGAGAGAAAUCUUGAUGCACGUGUAGCAAUUCCACCCAAAGGUGAGUGCUUGACGAGAUUGCUGAAGAACUCGCACAGAUAUGUUGUCUUUCCAAAUGACUAUGAUCCUGCCAUCAUCAUCUGAUAAGUGAUUUGAGGAGGAGCUGGGGGAAGGUUUUGGGCUUGAACAGGUUUCAAAGGCAAGGAAGAGGGGGCAAGUGCAAAGGUACCAGUAGCAACGAUAGCAGUGCCAGUGGUAGGAGUGAUCGACUUGUCGGGUACUUUAUGCACAUCAGAUCGGUUGGUCACAUCCUCUUCUGCUACAUUUUUCUGUGAAUUUUGCUUUUCCUUUGCAUUUGAAGACUCAGGAGCAUCCUUGCGCAUAGGAGCAGCUUUUUUUCCUUUUGAUUUAGCAGAAGAAGCACCCGCCUUUUCAGGUUGGUGGUAUCCAAGGGUAAGCCACCGAGACUUCCACCACUUCACCAGAUUCACGAGUAAACUCGACAAUGCUUGGAAGCGGUUUCGUCAAAUCAACAGCGACUUUGACAUGAGAUAGUGUCAAACUCACAAGAUUUAGUGUGAAGUCAUCUGUCUCCUUUGGUUCUCCUACCAAUCCAGCAACAAGACUCAGGCCUUGCUGGUGUCGCAAGUCCAACGGGAUGCCUGUUAGGUGCGCCCAAAUCUGUAUGGAUUCCAGUGGAGGGGAAGAGAGAGAUGCUGAGGAAGUCCAUUGCACUGCCUGGAACAUAGAGUCACCGACAUACCACACUCUUUUCUCCAGUAUUUUUUGUCGAAGAUAAUCUGAGGGGAUCCUAACCAGCAUAGAGCGCGAGAGGGGGUUCGUAUGUAUCUCUACACGGUUCCCUUUACCCCAUAGACUAUUCAACACACUCUGUAUGUGGUUAAAUGGCGGAGGCCGUCCAUUGAAAAAACAGAUUAUGAAAUCUCUAUGCAACUCAGCACCUUUUUGAAACACACUGUCAGGAAUGAGCACACGAGGCUUGCCAGAAUCACAUAAUCGAAUCUUAAUAGUCAUGUUUCAGUUAUAAUUUGAAAGCACUAUCAAAGUAUUUGUGUCAAAAAUUAAAGACAACUAUUACAGCCAAUCACACCUUAUAUAUUGGUUAUGAUUCUUCGAUUUAUUA
This is a long non-coding RNA of Raphanus sativus (radish), 3488 nucleotides long. RefSeq lists it as uncharacterized. The record is from RefSeq and is a predicted model, not a curated record. Lineage: Eukaryota; Viridiplantae; Streptophyta; Magnoliopsida; Brassicales; Brassicaceae. The transcript has 11 exons.